GACGAACGCUGGCGGCGUGCUUAACACAUGCAAGUCGAGCGGUAAGGCCCUUUCGGGGGUACACGAGCGGCGAACGGGUGAGUAACACGUGGGUGACCUGCCCUCAGCUCUGGGAUAAGCCUGGGAAACCGGGUCUAAUACCGGAUAUGACUCCAUGACGCAUGUUGUGGGGUGGAAAGCCUUGUGCGGCUGAGGAUGGGCCCGCGGCCUAUCAGCUUGUUGGUGGGGUGAUGGCCUACCAAGGCGACGACGGGUAGCCGGCCUGAGAGGGCGACCGGCCACACUGGGACUGAGACACGGCCCAAACUCCGUACGGGAGGCAGCACGUGGGGAAUAUUGGACAAGUGGGCGAAAGCCU
This 358-nucleotide ribosomal RNA is filed under the name uncultured bacterium. RNAcentral's name for it is "bacterial SSU rRNA". It matches the Rfam family "Bacterial small subunit ribosomal RNA", at positions 28 to 384 of the family's 1533-position model. The record is from RNAcentral.